RNA transcript from Clarias gariepinus (North African catfish), 3734 nucleotides. RefSeq lists it as uncharacterized. The transcript has 10 exons. Lineage: Eukaryota; Metazoa; Chordata; Actinopteri; Siluriformes; Clariidae. The record is from RefSeq and is a predicted model, not a curated record.
GGGAAACAUCUCGACGGGGGUAAACAAAUCCAAGACCUUUUUUAAACAAACGCAGGAAUUCUAUGUGGGAUGAGCUCGGAGAAGCUUCUAGAAUAUGCCUACACAGCGACUCCUUCUCCUUCAGAAGGAGUCUAAACGCCACCGGAUGGAGAGUGAAAUCCUUUCUAAGAAACGGCUGAGACGAGAAACGCCAGAUGCUUUCCUGACAGGAUGGAAAGAAACUGAGAAGGUCACUGUUCCAGCUACAGCACCUGAGGAAGCUGAAGAUUUACAAGCUGCGGACACACACAGUGCUGUAGGACAUGUCAUAAAGGUGGACCAGCAGAAUGAAGAAUUUGUGAAGCUCACUGUGAAAGAAGAGGAACCUGAAAACACAGAUUUCCGGUGUGAAGCUACUUCGAGCUCAGUCGGAAGUGUCGUCCUUGUCGACCAACAGAACGGAGAAUUUGUGAGGAAUGCUGUGAAAAAUAAAGAACCUGAAGAUGAUGACGGCUACCUCUAUUGCAGAAGGAAUUUGGAGAUUUCCUCACCGGCAAAUAAUGAACAAGGUGACGGGACAGCAAGUCCAGUCAGCAACAACGACCUUCUGAAACAGCUAGUUGUUGCUCACAACAGUAUGUCUCAUCAGCUCACAGCUCUCUCGUCCCAGAUGACUGAGCAGACGUUGCUUCUUAGGGGCGUAUUGGAUGAGAUGCGGCAGCAACGAGACCACAAAGAGCGUAUGAAUGCGCUGAAGAGGAGGAAAAAAGAGCACAGUUUGGCUGCCAUUGGUAAAGAUGGACGGUAUCUGCAUGAUUCAGAAAAUAUUCCCGAUCCACAAACCGAAAUCAGCUCGCCUUUUAAUCAGACAGGGACGACACAUCAUCUUGAAGAGCUGUCGGAGAGUUUUGCAGAUGCUGAGCCUGAGAUUAUAAAUGUGCUGUGCAUGGAGGAGGACCUAGAAAUGUUCCUGAGGUCAAGAGGAAUACCAGAGGAGAGCAUAACACUCAUGAAACAGGACAAGAUUGACAAGUCUGUUUUAUCCAUCAUGAAGGAUGAGCAGCUGGCAAACUACCUCAAGUGUUACGGCGAUCGAAUAGCAGUUCUUGCCUACUGCCGUCAAACACGACCAAACUAUAAUAACCAAUCUCCUUUACAGGGAGUGAGGGAUAAAAUGAAAGUUAGAAAACUGAGAUCAAAGGCAGCUCAAAAGUUGUUUUUAAAAUCCUCAGUGAGUUCAAGUCACGGAAGUUUAUUGGCCAGACCCAAAAACACUAAUGCUGAGAAAACCGCCAGAAAAAUCGAAAUCGGAUGGCUUCAUUUUUGCAGCAACGGAUACCAACAAGUGAGGACAAGAAAUGGCGGUGGAACGAAACGCAUCACUGUCGCAAAAACCGUAACCGUGGAACAGAUAUUGGAAAUGGGAAAGGACUUCUUUUUUCCAGAUGGACUCUCAACAAAAGGACCCGCAGAACAUUUUAUUUUUCAUGUUUGUGAUUUUAAAAGAAACAAAAUUUCUAUGGGGGACACUGUUGGCCAACUUUAUGAACAAACAAAAUUAAAAAUGCUGAGAUUUUACAUCUGCACCAAAGAUGCAGACUCAUCGAGUCUCAUAGGCUCUGAGAGUGAUGUGGAGGAGUACAGUUCGGACAGUGAUUCCUAUGACACACUUGACUGAGGGUGUUUAUCUGCAAAUGGCACAGAGAUUUGAGGUUUGUUCGCCAAAGUAUAAAUAUAUAGGAAUUCAGAACAUCAACAAACUGUGUUUUUAUGAAACUAUUUCAAAAUGAUGGAGAAUCCUGCAUCAUCUGGGUUAUGUCCAGAGAAGAGAGCUCUCACAGUCUAGAAUGCUGCCACGAAUGAUGCAGAAACAAGUCUGGUGUCUUCUAUGAAUGGAUGAUCAAGCCGAAAUAUUCAAUCCACCUUCCUGAUUUAAAUAAGUUUGCUAUUUACAUUUGAAAGUGCAUUAGACAAAUUAUUAUUUUAAGACUAAUAAGUUUAUCUCUUUCCUUUCUUCUUACCCAUAUACAGUGCUGGUCACUAUUUUUGGCACCCUGGUUAAGAUGUGUUCUUAGGCUUCUAAUAAUAAUACUUUUAGUGCAGCAGCAUAAUCUCACACUAAACAUUGUAGAAGAAUCUAUCCUUUAACUCAAGUCAAUAAAAAUUCAUAACUAAAAAGAAAAAAUAUAGUUUUUAUAUAAAACAUCACCCGUUCCACAAUUAAUGGCACCCCUAACAAUUCUGAUAAAAUAAAUGUAAUUGGAGCAUUUUCGUAAAUUCUACUGGAGAUUAUAAAGUUGAUCAGAGUAUCUAGAAAUUUUUUAUUUAUAAUUCAUGACUUCCUGUUUUUCUGUGGUAUAAAUAUGACGUGACAGAGGCUUAUUUCUCUUAUCCACUUUUCAACAUGGGAAAGACAAGAGAACACCCCAUUCAAGAAAGGAAGAUGUGUGUCGACCUUCAUAAAUCAGGCAAAGGCUACAAGAAAACAGCCACUCAGCUAAACUUGCCCAUAUCUACAGUGAGAGGAAUCAUAAAGAAGUUAAAAAAAAACUGUAACAGUGACAAACAAGGCUGGACGAGGACUCACGUUUAUCUUGCCACCACACACAGUAAGGAGGAUGGCAAGAGAAGUAAAAAAAAUCUCCAAACCUCGCUGUUAGAGAACUGCAUCAAAAAGUGGCAUCUUGGGGUCACAAAGUCUCCAUAACAACCAUCGGACGCUAUCGACAUGCCAACAAGCUGUUUUGGGAGGGAUGCAAGGAAAAAGCCUUUUCUCACCUACAAACAUAAAUAUCUGGAGUUUGCUGGGACUUUAACUGGGACUAUGUGCUGUGGCCAGAUAAGACUAAGAGCUUUUUGGCAACAAACACUGUCUGGGUCUGGCAUAAAACAAAAGAUGAGUUUGUGAAAAAGCACCCCAUGCCAACUGUGAAGUAUGGUGGAGAAUCUGUGUUGCUGUAGGCCUGUUUCUCUUUCAAAGGCUCUGAGAUCCUUGUUAGGGUGCAUGGCAUCGUGAACUCUCUGAAAUACCAGGACAUUUUAAAUUAAAAUCUGAUGGCCUCUGUCAGAAAGCUGAAGAUGGGUUGUCAUUGGGUCUUUUAGCAGGAUGAUGAAAUGAAAUCUAGGGCUGCAACGAAUGAUUAUUUUAAUAAUCAAUUACUCUGUCCCAUUGUAAUUGUUGAUUACAAUGACGCGCGCACACAGACAGCAGGCAAAGAGCAUCGCGCGACACAACAAAUCAAUUAUGAAAUUCGUUGCCAACGCUUUUAGUAAUCGAUUUCUAUCGAUUUUAUCGAUUCGUUGUUUCAGCCCUAAUGAAAUCUACACAAAAAUGGUUCAGUAGACACACAAUCCAGCUCCUCUCAUGGCCAUCUCAGUCCCCAGAGGUCAACCCAAUUGAAAAUCUUUGGGGUGAGCUGAAAAGGAGAGUGCAUAAAAGAAGAUCCAGGACUUGAUCUAGAAACAUUGUGCAAAGUGGAAUGGUCAAAGAUCCCAUCUGGAUCCCGUAUCUAUAUUCUUCAAUCGUGUGAAAUGUUAUAGGAGGAGAUUAAGUGUUGUCUUAGGAUUGUACGAAGUAUGAACAUCAGGGGUGCCAAUAAAUUUUGGCACACAUGAUUUCAUGUUAAAACAAUCAUAAUGCGGGUCCCCACACACACACACUGAAUAAUUGUACUUCAGUUAAAUGUUGGACUUUUCUCUCUUUUUGCAUUGUGGUUCUAUAUUGUUUAAAUAAAAAAAAAAUUCUAAGAAGCCUA